CUGACCUCGGAUCAAGGUAGGAAAA
Molecule: ribosomal RNA, 25 nt
Filed under: Epicoccum sp. ZS11-2
Lineage: Eukaryota; Fungi; Ascomycota; Dothideomycetes; Pleosporales; Didymellaceae
Description: partial 28S ribosomal RNA
Source: RNAcentral